Molecule: transfer RNA, 74 nt
Filed under: Neurospora crassa
Lineage: Eukaryota; Fungi; Ascomycota; Sordariomycetes; Sordariales; Sordariaceae
Description: tRNA predict as a tRNA- Asn : anticodon gtt
Source: RNAcentral
CUCCCUCGGUAAGGAUCGAACUUACAGCCUCCAGAUUAACAGUCUGACGCGCUAGCCAAUUGCGCCACGAGGGA